CAGUCGCCGCGGGAAUACGGAGGGUGCGAGCGUUAAUCGGAAUAACUGGGCGUAAAGGGCACGCAGGCGGUUAUUUAAGUGAGGUGUGAAAGCCCCGGGCUUAACCUGGGAAUUGCAUUUCAGACUGGGUAACUAGAGUACUUUAGGGAGGGGUAGAAUUCCACGUGUAGCGGUGAAAUGCGUAGAGAUGUGGAGGAAUACCGAAGGCGAAGGCAGCCCCUUGGGAAUGUACUGACGCUCAUGUGCGAAAGCGUGGGGAGCAAACAGGAUUAGAUACCCGUGUAGUCCCUGUCUCUUAUAC
RNAcentral lists this ribosomal RNA (301 nucleotides) under uncultured bacterium. RNAcentral describes it as "partial 16S ribosomal RNA". It matches the Rfam family "Bacterial small subunit ribosomal RNA", at positions 509 to 807 of the family's 1533-position model. The record is from RNAcentral.